UCUUAAGGGUUGGGGGGUAGUAUUAGAAGCUCUGGAAACCUAAAAUUUUUGGCGGUUUUUUAGGCUAGUUAGAGGAACCUGUUCUGUGAUAGAUGUCCCACGUUGGGUUUAACUUUUUUUGAGGUAUAUAUACCGCCGUCGUAAAGCAAUUUUUUUAGAGAUUGUUGUUUAAUUAGAAUUAAGGUGAUGACAGGUCAAGGUGUAGCUUAUGAAAGAGGGUGAAAUGGGUUACAAUAUUUGAUUAAUAUUAUGAAUAUGAUUUUAAGAAAUUUUUCAUUGAAAGUGGAUUUAAAAGUAAAAUUGAGAUUAAAAUGCGGAUUUGGUUUUGGCUCUGGAAGAUGU
Molecule: ribosomal RNA, 342 nt
Filed under: Damon annulatipes
Lineage: Eukaryota; Metazoa; Arthropoda; Arachnida; Amblypygi; Phrynichidae
Description: partial 12S ribosomal RNA
Source: RNAcentral